CAGAAAACCAGGACCCCCUCCAUGAUGCAGGCUAUGGGGCCACAUAAAACUUUGUCCAGGGUUACUACAUAACAUAAAGAACCCCCUGAAUGAUGUAGGCUAUGGGGCCACAUAAGACUUUGUCCAUCCAGGGUUACGAUGAAUGCAAAAUUUAAACUAAAGAACCCCCUGAAUGAUGUAGGCUAUGGGGCCACAUAAGACUUUGUCCAUCCAGGGUUACGAUGAAUGCAAAAUUUAAACUAAAGAGCUACCAGACUGGGAUUUUAGUGUACUCCAGGAUCUAACAAAUACAUACGUACUACUACGAAGUGUGCAGUGCAUAAUAUAUAGUGUUUAGUGUAUAAUCUAACCUAAGGAUUAAGUGUAGUACAUUGUGCUUUUUAGUGUCACAAGAGUUUAAUAAAGAAUUAUACCUUCAAGAACCAUCCUUUGCCAUUGGAAUAACCACACUACACAUCAUGCAAUCUACUUGCAUGUCACACAGGUAAGGUCUCUAACUUUUUCUUAGUUUAAGGCAUAUUUCCAAGUGUCGUUCCGGCUUACGACGA
Molecule: long non-coding RNA, 548 nt
Organism: Macrobrachium nipponense
Lineage: Eukaryota; Metazoa; Arthropoda; Malacostraca; Decapoda; Palaemonidae
Exons: 4
Source: RefSeq, a predicted model, not a curated record